Molecule: long non-coding RNA, 612 nt
Organism: Ipomoea nil (Japanese morning glory)
Lineage: Eukaryota; Viridiplantae; Streptophyta; Magnoliopsida; Solanales; Convolvulaceae
Exons: 3
Source: RefSeq, a predicted model, not a curated record
CUUUUUAUUCUAAAUUUGUAGCUACUGUUUGUGAUUUGUUUUGUUUGUUUAUUUUACAGAUUGUUAUUUCUCUAUUUUUGGGUAAACAUUUCAAUAGCUUUUGAUGAUUAUGGUUUUGUGAUCAUGUGAUUGAAUGUAUUGUGUGAACAAGGAAACUAGAAAGAAAAAAGAAAUACUUGCUUCGACACCUGCGGCAAGGACUUCAACAGCAGGCAUGCAUUUGCGGUGGCUGUGAGAUAAUAAACAGUACAGUAAUGGCGGAUGGAUGGGAAAGAGAAAGCCAAAAAGGGGUUUGGAUUGUUGUUAGUUGGGCACAAGCUUUGGGCAGUUUACAUAGAGGCAAUUGCAAUGGUGGAAGAGUAUUAGCAUUCAGCAAGCUCUUUCUGUAGAUGGUGGCGUUCGAGAUGUUAAGGCUCAUUACCCUCAGCUCAGUUUGAAAAACCUUCCUCAGGUUCUUUACUUUUGCACUGUGUAUACUAAAACAAUAAUAGUCAAUAUAAAAAUUGCUAUAAUGUUACAGUCUUGUAAAAUCUCAUCCCUUUUGUGAACCAUUUACCUUUUCAAUUUAGAAAGAUAAUUAGAAGAUGUAUUUUGCUGAAAGUAUCACUCUUA